AUAGAGAAACUUUUUAGAAGUGUUAUAUUUUUAAUAUAAAAAAGUGCAUUAAACACCUUUAUUAA
RNAcentral lists this transfer RNA (65 nucleotides) under Didemnum vexillum. RNAcentral describes it as "tRNA-Lys". The record is from RNAcentral. Lineage: Eukaryota; Metazoa; Chordata; Ascidiacea; Aplousobranchia; Didemnidae.